RNAcentral lists this long non-coding RNA (1243 nucleotides) under Gossypium raimondii (Peruvian cotton). RNAcentral's name for it is "long non-coding RNA (GRAI_LNC003853)". The record is from RNAcentral. Lineage: Eukaryota; Viridiplantae; Streptophyta; Magnoliopsida; Malvales; Malvaceae.
UUUAACUUAUAUAUGCAUAUAAUUGAUAUGCUGAUGUCCUCUCCUUUAUUUUAAGCCAGAAAAAUGUCGUCUUUUUCUUUUCUUUCCUUUUCUUUUCUUUUUCUUUUUCUUUUUCUUUUUGUUAGGCAGAAAUAGAUAAUAAUAAAAAGAAAUUUGUUUACUCUUAAAAAAAAAAUUUCUGCCAAAUAAUUUUUAAUGUUUGACGUUAUGAUUUACUCAGGGAACAGGCUUCCAGCAUCGCCACGAGCCUCCUGCUGCUACUUGACCUAUGUUACAGAAGGAUGCUGCUUCUCUCUAGGUGCUGGUAUUUAGUCUAAUUUGUCUUUGAACUCUUUAUUUGUACCCCCCCCCCCAAAAAAAAAAAAACAUAGAAAAAAUCACCAGUUCGAUUUGAUCAGAUUCGAGCUGUGAAAAGGCAUAUAUCUAAUAAAAUACACCAACUUCGAUGAUAUUUAAAAGGUUAACUUUGUAGAUGUUUGGGAUAGAAAUAAAAACAAUGCCAAAAUCAAGCUGCUAAAAGAAAUGAGUUAACCAUUUGAAGAAUAUAAGCUUCUAGUUUUAUUCAUAAUAUUUUGUUCAAUACCAGAUUUGCCUUUAUUCCCAGUGAAGCAGAGAAAUAUAUAGAAUACAUAUAGAUAUUAUAUAUAAAAACUAAUGGAACAUUCAUCAAUAUCCAUGCUCACUAGUCAUCAUAAUUGACUUAGUUUCACACCAGAUUUGCCUUUACUCCUAGUGAAGCAUAGUAGUACACAUAAUACAUACACAUUAGAUACAUAUAUAAAACCUAAUGGAACAUUCAUCAAUCCGUGCUCACUAGUUAUCAUAAUUGACUGAUUAAUUAAGUAAUUAAUCAAUCAAUCCUUCUUGUGCUCUUGAUCAGCACGUCGUACUUCAAGGCCGCCAUCAGGUCUCUUCUCAAGUGAAUAAGGCAUAUAGGUUCCUAGAAUUCUGUCCCAUAUGUCAAAGUAGACAGAGAAGUUGUAUUUGGUACCAUAAAGCUGAUGGUGGACAUCAUGGUAUGCCGAAUUGUUGUUAAAAAAGAGGUAAAAGGGGUUUCCGGGAAGCUUCAUCCCGCAAUGAUCAUCCACUAAUUUAAGGAUGGUAAAGGAGGAGAAAAACAUGGCAGUUCGAGGAGACAUGCCGGAGAGGAGUACAGCUAAUGUUCCGCCCAUGGUGUCCAAGAACCCCUCAAUUGGAUGCAUAUACUGUCCUCCAAAUGAAUAGGGAACAACCAGCCGGUGAU